This 114-nucleotide small RNA is filed under the name Pectobacterium carotovorum. RNAcentral's name for it is "partial RtT sRNA". It matches the Rfam family "RtT RNA", at positions 15 to 130 of the family's 130-position model. From Rfam's summary of the family: This family represents a bacterial cis-regulatory element known as RtT RNA. The exact function of RtT is unknown although it is thought that it may be involved in changing the cellular response in relation to amino acid starvation. The record is from RNAcentral. Lineage: Bacteria; Pseudomonadati; Pseudomonadota; Gammaproteobacteria; Enterobacterales; Pectobacteriaceae.
GUGUAGGUGAGAACCUGCGCUCAGGUUCGAGCCGAGCGAAGCGAGACAGCAACGCACUAGCGUUGACCCCGAAGGGGCGAGGCCGAAGGCCGAGUUAUCCUGCACGACCCACUA